AAGACGAUGACUGCUUAGUGUGUUAGAGGGCUUCCAACCGUUGCUUGCUUGGCAGCUAACGCGUUAAAUCAGACCGCCUGGGGAGUACGACCGCAAGGUUAAAACUCAAAUGGAAUUGACGGGGGCCCGCACAAGCGGUGGAGCAUGUGGUUUAAUUCGAUGCAACGCGAAGAACCUUACCUACUCUUGACAUCCUUUGAAUCCUUUAGAGAUAGAGGAGUGCCUUCGGGAACGCUGAGACAGGUGCUGCAUGGCUGUCGUCAGCUCGUGUUGUGAAAUGUUGGGUUAAAUACCCCGCAACCAAAA
Molecule: ribosomal RNA, 306 nt
Filed under: Proteus sp. (in: enterobacteria)
Lineage: Bacteria; Pseudomonadati; Pseudomonadota; Gammaproteobacteria; Enterobacterales; Morganellaceae
Description: bacterial SSU rRNA
Rfam family: Bacterial small subunit ribosomal RNA
Source: RNAcentral